GACGGUCUUGUUUUUUUUUAGGUUAAUUGCAAAAAAAAAAGUGUUUAUAUUAUCACUAUUAUUAUUUUUUUGUCUCUAUCUCUCUUCUUUUUUUUUUUUUUUUUUUUUUUGGUGAGGGUUUAAUAUUUUGUGGUGUCAUGUUUUGGUGAUGCCUCGAGUGAAGUGAUGGUGAUGAUGGUGAUUAUUCAUUUGUUUUCUCUUUUUUUUUUUUUCUGUGGAGGUCAUCGCGCCAUCAUCACCAUCAGCUAAUGGCGGGUUUUGAUGGCUCCUGUCGUUUUAAUAAUGGCUGUCUUCAUUUUGUAUAUGCCUAAUUUUGGUCUUUCCGUCACGUGUUCCUUAGUGUGUUAUUGCAAUGUGACCCCUUGUUCUCGCCACGACCACUGCCACUCACCCUGUCACACUACUACUACUACUACUAUUACUAUUACUACAACUACUACUUACUUAUUUACUUACUCACUACAUACCACUUCUACUACUACUACUACUACUUCUACUACUACUACUACUACUACUACUGCUGCUGCUACUACUACCUCAUUCAGCAAUAUCAUAACAACUAAUACAACUACAACCACAAUAUUCCAAUCCAACACCUCUACUACUACUACUACUACUACUACUACUACUACAAUAGACGCAGUACCUCUCACUAAACCACUGCCAACCACUGCAACCACCAGCACUGCCAAUGUCACUGCCUAUUUACUAGUUAAUAACAUAAGGUACACGUUUUGAAGUACCUUUCCUAUGUACUCGUCCCUGCUCACUAGUACAGCCAGGUAACUCCGCCAGGUGUACUAAGGUGGUAGGUAGGAUGAGGAGUACUUGUUUUUGCUGGUACUAGUUAGUUUGAUCCUGUUACUGGUUCUCUUUUGAUAUUGGUACCUAAAUAUUUGAUGGGUAUUGUAAUUUAAAGGUACCUCUUGUUUGUAAUAUCUGUUUGUGUAUGAUUCUUCUGGUGGUUUUUGGGAGAUGAGUGUUUGUGUGUAUGUGUGUGUGUGUGUGUGUGUGUGUGUGUAAAAAUAGAACAAAUCUACUGUCUUUUCUCUGCUUCAGUUGUAGGAAUGACUUAAUCGACAGACCAGUUUCUUUUCAUAACAACAAAAUGAAGAAAAAAAAAAAAACAGCAACAAGGGAAACACGAAAAGAGAUCAAGUAAAGACGAGAAAAACACCAAGUACUGAACCCUUUGAAUUACAGAAAACUGACAGUCGUGUGGGUUUAUAAGGUGUUGAAUUAAUCAUUUCACAUUUAGACAGAAGAAUUAAGAGAAGAGACGGAAAAACAGUGAGGGAGAUUACAGUACUCACAAUCUAGAGAGAGAGAGAGAGAGAGAGAGAGAGAGAGAGAGAGAGAGAGAGAGAGAGAGAGAGAGAGAGAGAGAGAGAGAGAGAGAGAGAGAGAGAGAGAGAGAGAGAGAGA
Molecule: long non-coding RNA, 1425 nt
Organism: Portunus trituberculatus (swimming crab)
Lineage: Eukaryota; Metazoa; Arthropoda; Malacostraca; Decapoda; Portunidae
Exons: 2
Source: RefSeq, a predicted model, not a curated record